GACGAACGCUGGCGGCGUGCUUAACACAUGCAAGUCGAACGGAAAGGCCCUGCUUUUGUGGGGUGCUCGAGUGGCGAACGGGUGAGUAACACGUGAGUAACCUGCCCUUGACUUUGGGAUAACUUCAGGAAACUGGGGCUAAUACCGGAUAGGAGCUCCUGCUGCAUGGUGGGGGUUGGAAAGUUUCGGCGGUUGGGGAUGGACUCGCGGCUUAUCAGCUUGUUGGUGGGGUAGUGGCUUACCAAGGCUUUGACGGGUAGCCGGCCUGGGAGGGUGACCGGGGACAUUGGUACUGCGAUACGCAGCAGUCUGCUACGGGAGGCAGCAGUGGGGAAUAUUGCACAACGGGGGGAAGUGUGAGACGGAAACGCCGCGAGCGUAAUGACGGCUUACGGGGUAUAAACAGCUUUCGACUGUGACGAAGAGGGAGUGACGGUAAUUGGUAAAGAAGCACCGGCUAACUACGUG
RNAcentral lists this ribosomal RNA (468 nucleotides) under uncultured bacterium. Its description in RNAcentral is "partial 16S ribosomal RNA". It matches the Rfam family "Bacterial small subunit ribosomal RNA", at positions 28 to 507 of the family's 1533-position model. The record is from RNAcentral.